UCCGCACCAACCAGCACCAUGCCCAUGACACUGGGGUACUGGGACAUCCGCGGGCUGGCCCACGCCAUCCGCCUGCUCCUGGAAUACACAGACUCAAGCUAUGAGGAAAAGAAGUACUCGAUGGGGGACGGUAAUGGCACCCUCGUGUUCGGGCUCUGCCCACUCACGCUAAGUUGGCACCAAGCAACCCAUGGUGGCCACCUGUGGCUGCCUCUGCAGGCCUCCCCUGCUGGAGCUGCAGGCUGUCUCUUCCCUGAGCCCCGGUGAGGGAGCCCUCUGGCCUUGCAAGGCAGAAUGCUGGGGCGGGAUGCUGGGCCCCCGUCUAAUUAUGAUGGGUGUCCCUCAGGGCUUGCCUAAACCCUGGAAGCCUUAGCCGUGUGGGGUCCAGAGCCCUCAGCGGGAUUCUUUGUCCCUGAACCCUGGGAUGUGGGACUGAGUGGUCAGAUUCUAGAUCCACCUGUCUCAGGGAUCUUGCCACUGGCUCCUUGGGAGGGUCCCCGGGAAGGAGGGCUGGGCUCUGGGGAGGUUUGUUUUCACUUCUUCUUCCCCACCACAGCUCCUGACUAUGACAGAAGCCAGUGGCUGAAUGAAAAAUUCAAGCUGGGCCUGGACUUUCCCAAUGUAGGUGCAGGGGAAGGGGCGGUUUUGGGGGAAAGUGCGACCUGUCUCUGACUGCAUCUCCUCUCCCCAGCUUAGAGGUGUUAAGAUCAGGAGUCUUCUGCCCAAUUCCUCUCACUCCUGGCUGUCUAAACAGUCCUUCCAUGAUGUUCUGUGUCCAACCGCAUUCGUUCAUGUGACAGUAUUCUUAUUUCAGUCCUGCCAUGAGCAGGCACAGUGAGUGCCCAGUCUCCUCUCUACUCUUGCUUAUGG
RNAcentral lists this small RNA (870 nucleotides) under Pan troglodytes (chimpanzee). RNAcentral describes it as "retained intron". Lineage: Eukaryota; Metazoa; Chordata; Mammalia; Primates; Hominidae. The record is from RNAcentral.